UGGCUCAGGACGAACGCUGGCGGCGUGCCUAUACUUGCAGUCGAGCGAGCGGAACUAACAGAUUUACUUCGGUAAUGACGUUAGGAAAGCGAGCGGCGGAUGGGUGAGUAACACGUGGGGAACCUGCCCCAUAGUCUGGGAUACCACUUGGAAACAGGUGCUAAUACCGGAUAAGAAAGCAGAUCGCAUGAUCAGCUUUUAAAAGGCGGCGUAAGCUGUCGCUAUGGGAUGGCCCCGCGGUGCAUCAGCUAGUUGGUAAGGUAAAGGCUUACCAAGGCGAUGAUGCAUAGCCGAGUUGAGAGACUGAUCGGCCACAUUGGGACUGAGACACGGCCCAAACUCCUACGGGAGGCAGCAGUAGGGAAUCUUCCACAAUGGACGCAAGUCUGAUGGAGCAACGCCGCGUGAGUGAAGAAGGUUUCGGAUCGUAAAGCUCUGUUGUUGGUGAAGAAGGAUAGAGGUAGUAACUGGCCUUUAUUUGACGGUAAUCAACCAGAAAGUCACGGCUAACUACGUGCCAGCAGCCGCGGUAAUACGUAGGUGGCAAGCGUUGUCCGAAUUUAUUGGGCGUAAAGCGAGCGCAGGCGGAAGAAUAAGUCUGAUGUGAAAGCCCUCGGCUUAACCGAGGAACUGCAUCGGAAACUGUUUUUCUUGAGUGCAGAAGAGGAGAGUGGAACUCCAUGUGUAGCGGUGGAAUGCGUAGAUAUAUGGAAGAACACCAGUGGCGAAGGCGGCUCUCUGGUCUGCAACUGACGCUGAGGCUCGAAAGCAUGGGUAGCGAACAGGAUUAGAUACUCUGGUAGUCCAUGCCGUAAACGAUGAGUGCUAAGUGUGGGAGGUUUCCGCCUCUCAGUGCUGCAGCUAACGCAUUAAGCAGUCCGCCUGGGGAGUACGACCGCAAGGUG
This 905-nucleotide ribosomal RNA is filed under the name Lactobacillus crispatus. Its description in RNAcentral is "bacterial SSU rRNA". It matches the Rfam family "Bacterial small subunit ribosomal RNA", at positions 20 to 895 of the family's 1533-position model. Lineage: Bacteria; Bacillati; Bacillota; Bacilli; Lactobacillales; Lactobacillaceae. The record is from RNAcentral.